This 229-nucleotide unclassified non-coding RNA is filed under the name plant metagenome. RNAcentral describes it as "partial contains small subunit ribosomal RNA, internal transcribed spacer 1, and 5.8S ribosomal RNA". The record is from RNAcentral.
UCUCCGUUGGUGAACCAGCGGAGGGAUCAUUACAGAGUUCUAAAAGACUCCCAAAACCAUUGUGAACGUACCCGUCAGCGUUGCCUCGGCGGGCGGCCCCCCCCUGGGGCCGCUGCCUCCCUCACGGGGGGUGCCCCCCGGCGUACGAAAACUCUUUUGUAUUUUAGUGGCCUCUCUGAGAAAACAAGCAAAUAAGUUAAAACUUUCAACAACGGAUCUCUUGGUUCUG